GACGAACGCUGGCGGCGUGCUUAACACAUGCAAGUCAAGGGGGCCCAGCAAUGGGCAACCGGCGAACGGGUGCGUAACACGUGAGCAACCUACCGAACUGUGGGGGAUAGCCGGCCUAACGGCCGAGUAAUACCGCAUACGCUCUCAGGGAGGCAUUUCUUUGAGAGGAAACCUACGGGACAGAUCGAGGGGCUCGCGGCCUAUCAGCUAGUUGGCGAGGUAACGGCUCACCAAGGCAACGACGGGUAGCUGGUCUGAGAGGAUGGCCAGCCACAUUGGGACUGAGAUACGGCCCAGACUCCUACGGGAGGCAGCAGUGGGGAAUCUUGCGCAAUGGCCUAACGGCUGACGCAGCGACGCCGCGUGUGGGAUGAAGCUCUUCGGAGUGUAAACCACUGUUGCCCGGGACGAAUAGCUCGAUUAAUCGAGCCUGACGGUACCGGGUGAGGAAGCACCGGCUAACUCCGU
Molecule: ribosomal RNA, 468 nt
Filed under: uncultured bacterium
Lineage: Bacteria
Description: bacterial SSU rRNA
Rfam family: Bacterial small subunit ribosomal RNA
Source: RNAcentral